This 497-nucleotide ribosomal RNA is filed under the name uncultured bacterium. Its description in RNAcentral is "partial 16S ribosomal RNA". It matches the Rfam family "Bacterial small subunit ribosomal RNA", at positions 28 to 507 of the family's 1533-position model. The record is from RNAcentral.
GAUGAACGCUGGCGGCGUGCCUAAUACAUGCAAGUCGAGCGAACGGACGAGAAGCUUGCUUUUCUGAUGUUAGCGGCGGACGGGUGAGUAACACGUGGAUAACCUACCUAUAAGACUGGGAUAACUUCGGGAAACCGGAGCUAAUACCGGAUAAUAUUUUGAACCGCAUGGUUCAAAAGUGAAAGACGGUCUUGCUGUCACUUAUAGAUGGAUCCGCGCUGCAUUAGCUAGUUGGUAAGGUAACGGCUUACCAAGGCAACGAUGCAUAGCCGACCUGAGAGGGUGAUCGGCCACACUGGAACUGAGACACGGUCCAGACUCCUACGGGAGGCAGCAGUAGGGAAUCUUCCGCAAAGGGCGAAAGCCUGACGGAGCAACGCCGCGUGAGUGAUGAAGGUCUUCGGAUCGUAAAACUCUGUUAUUAGGGAAGAACAUAUGUGUAAGUAACUGUGAACAUCUUGACGGUACCUAAUCAGAAAGCCACGGCUAACUACGUG